AGCCGAGUAGCUAAGCUUGGUAAGGCACUGGACUUAAGAUCCAGGGAGUUAGUCUCCUCAUGGGUUCAAAUCCCGUCUCGGCUA
RNAcentral lists this transfer RNA (84 nucleotides) under Methanobrevibacter ruminantium M1. Its description in RNAcentral is "tRNA-Leu (TAA) (tRNA-Leu-TAA-2-1)". It matches the Rfam family "tRNA". From Rfam's summary of the family: Transfer RNA (tRNA) molecules are approximately 80 nucleotides in length. Their secondary structure includes four short double-helical elements and three loops (D, anti-codon, and T loops). Further hydrogen bonds mediate the characteristic L-shaped molecular structure. tRNAs have two regions of fundamental functional importance: the anti-codon, which is responsible for specific mRNA codon recognition, and the 3' end, to which the tRNAs corresponding amino acid is attached (by aminoacyl-tRNA synthetases). tRNAs cope with the degeneracy of the genetic code in two manners: having more than one tRNA (with a specific anti-codon) for a particular amino acid; and 'wobble' base-pairing, i.e. permitting non-standard base-pairing at the 3rd anti-codon position. Lineage: Archaea; Methanobacteriati; Methanobacteriota; Methanobacteria; Methanobacteriales; Methanobacteriaceae. The record is from Rfam by way of RNAcentral.